GCCGGGUGCGGUGGCGCGUGCCUAUAGUCCCAGCUACUCGGGAGGCUGAGAUGGGCGGAUGACUUGAGUCCAGGAGUUCUGGGCUGCAGUGCGCUAUGCGGAUCGGGUGUCCGCACUAAGUCCGGCAUAAAUAUGGUGACCUCCCGGGAGCGGGGGACCACCAGGUUGCCUAAGGAGGGAUGAACAAGCCCAGAUCAGAAACGGAGCAGGUCAAAACUCCUGUGCUGAUCCGUAGUGGGAUUGAGCCUGUGAAUAGCCACUGCACUCCAGCCUGGGCAACAUAGGGAGACCCCGUCUCA
RNAcentral lists this signal recognition particle RNA (299 nucleotides) under Cebus imitator (Panamanian white-faced capuchin). RNAcentral's name for it is "Metazoan signal recognition particle RNA (ENSCCAG00000005238.1)". It matches the Rfam family "Metazoan signal recognition particle RNA". Rfam says of the family: The signal recognition particle (SRP) is a universally conserved ribonucleoprotein. It is involved in the co-translational targeting of proteins to membranes. Lineage: Eukaryota; Metazoa; Chordata; Mammalia; Primates; Cebidae. The record is from RNAcentral.